Molecule: ribosomal RNA, 434 nt
Filed under: uncultured bacterium
Lineage: Bacteria
Description: bacterial SSU rRNA
Rfam family: Bacterial small subunit ribosomal RNA
Source: RNAcentral
CUCAACCGUGGAACUGCAGGGCAUACUGCGUGUCUUGAGGACGGUAGAGGUUGUCGGAACUGUGGGUGUAGCGGUGAAAUGCGUAGAUAUCCACAGGAACGCCGAAGACGAAGGUAGACAACUGGGCCGUUCCUGACGCUCAGGCACGAAAGCGUGGGUAGCGAACGGGAUUAGAUACCCCGGUAGUCCACGCCGUAAACACUGUGCACUAGAUCCGGGAGGCUCUGACGCCAUCCGGGUCGAAGCGAAAGCGAUAAGUGCACCGCCUGGGGAGUACGGUCGCAAGGCUUAAACUCAAAGGAAUUGACGGGGGCUCACACAAGCGGUGGAGCAUGUGGCUUAAUUCGAAGCAACGCGAAGAACCUUAUCCAGGGUUUGACAUGCAUGGAUGCUCCUCCCGAAAGGGAGAUCUGUUGCCCUUCGCGGGUGAAACA